UUGUUCGUAAUUGUAAGUCGUUCCUUUUGAUUUUCAGGUUGAAAUCUGCCGUUUACAACGGUUUUUCGCGAGCUUAUCCCGUGACACGUUUCGUUUUUCUCGUGGCCGUCUUGUGGCUGAAAUGGCAUCUCGCCUCCUGGAAAUCGUAGAUCGAAUUGGAUAAGUAAACUGUUCAGGAAUUAACAUACAGAAUAACCAUUGCAAUGAAAUGAUCAAGUUUAUUGGUGAUGCCCAUUGUUGCCUGAAAGCACAGUUGCGGAGGAAGCUUUGCUUAGAGGAAGGUGGUUCCCAGCCUGGAGAGCAACAAAGCCAAGAAGGGAUCACUCAACUGAAAAAAACAGUAUUUCCAGAUGAGUACCUGACUGACAAUUUACAAUAAAUACCAAAUUAGGCCCACCUGAUAUUUCAUACAGUGAUUCAUAAUCAAACUGGGAUUGGACAAGGCCCUUUUUGUGUUUCCAUAGUUAAAAAUUUCCCAGAUGUGCUGAUCAGUGGAAGCCUAGGGUCUCCUCAUCAAAAUAUCAGGAUGAGUUGACAUAGGUUUACAUUGACAGAGAUUUUUGAGUGUCCUCAAUCUUUGGGCGACACAAUGAAGUAUUAGGUGCCUUGCUCAAGGACAACGAGAUGAGGUGGCGCAGAUUAUGUGAGAGUUGAACCCACAAUAUCCUUGUCAUUGUGAUCAUAAACAACCAGAAACUCUGGUAUGUGGACUGGAGGGAUGACUGCUUCUUAAUUUUGUCUUAAUUCACAGAGUUCGAUAUGUGUCCUUUGAAACAAUAACAUAAAACUUGGCCUUGGACCUCAAUCUUGAAAUUCUUAACUUCAAAGCUGUUGGUGUUAAAUGACUCUUCUGAUUUUAUAAAGCUUAAUCUUUGGUAGAAGAACUUGAUGUGGAAAGCCAAUGUUUCUACUCACUGUUAGUUUUCGGGCCUCAAAAUUCAGGAUUUUGCCUCCAGAGCAUUUCUUGAAAAAAGUGCUGUGGAGGUAGAGGCCUCUCAACAGCAAUUUGUCCCUUGCCCAAGACAAAUUUGCCUCAGCUUAUUUUAGGCAUAGCAACCCUGCCAGAGUGAUUGCGGAGCUCCUGGCAAUGCACACCUGGAUCCGGAGCCUAAGAACUGGGGCUGUAUAAUUAGAAUAAGGCAGCCAGGCCCAUAACUUUGGGGUUACCAUUUGCCGCGAGUGCCGUGGAGAAUUUACCAUUCAGAAUCAAAAGUUAAGUGAGAACCAUUAUCUUUUUCAGCCCCUCCACCUGAUGACCCACAUUAACAGGGAAGGAGAUGAAGGCAUUCAGAUUUGGUAUGGCAUCGUCAUUCUACUGACAAGCCAUGGCCCGUUAACAAAAUUUACCAAGGACCACAGUUCUUUGCUGCGACAUUGGCUGGGUUUUGCUGACCACAAUACCAUUUGAACUGGAAAUGUUGUUGCGAGAAGAAUCCGUCUUGGGAUACAAGCCUAAUAGCAAGAUCAGAGGGCAUGGUUUCCACGAAGGCUGUCCAAGGGAGAUUCAGCAAUCUACUUGAUCAG
Molecule: long non-coding RNA, 1524 nt
Organism: Lineus longissimus
Lineage: Eukaryota; Metazoa; Nemertea; Pilidiophora; Heteronemertea; Lineidae
Exons: 3
Source: RefSeq, a predicted model, not a curated record